Molecule: ribosomal RNA, 464 nt
Filed under: uncultured bacterium
Lineage: Bacteria
Description: partial 16S ribosomal RNA
Rfam family: Bacterial small subunit ribosomal RNA
Source: RNAcentral
GAUGAACGCUGGCGGCGUGCUUAACACAUGCAAGUCGAACGGAAAGGCUCCUGCUUGCAGGGGUACUCGAGUGGCGAACGGGUGAGUAACACGUGGGUGAUCUGCCCUGCACUUCGGGAUAAGCCUGGGAAACUGGGUCUAAUACCGGAUAGGACGAUGGUUUGGAUGCCAUUGUGGAAAGUUUUUCGGUGUGGGAUGAGCUCGCGGCCUAUCAGCUUGUUGGUGGGGUAAUGGCCUACCAAGGCGUCGACGGGUAGCCGGCCUGAGAGGGUGUACGGCCACAUUGGGACUGAGAUACGGCCCAGACUCCUACGGGAGGCAGCAGUGGGGAAUAUUGCACAAUGGGCGCAAGCCUGAUGCAGCGACGCCGCGUGGGGGAUGACGGCCUUCGGGUGGUAAACUCCUUUCGCUAGGGACGAAGCGCAAGUGACGGUACCUGGAGAAGAAGCACCGGCUAACUACGU